UUCGUCUUCUCCAUUGAUUAACACUGUUCAUCUUCUCUUCUUCCACUAACUGAAGUAAUUAAAAGGCACUGAUGGAUUCACCUUCCUCUUCUCCUACUUUAAAAAGGAUGCCGGGAUUGCAGAUUGUUCAUCUGCCCCGAAGCUAGGCAUCAAUCGAUCCAGGGAGCAACUCUGCUGAGCAUUAGCGCAACUGCACAAGGCAUCCCGUCACACGUUGGGCAUCCUCCACCGGUAGUGUGCGUGACCACUGUAUACAAUUUUUGCUUCUAUCUACAUCCAUCCCAUUCGGUCUAUAUUUGAGCAGGUUUUGUCCUCCAUGAGAUCUCUGUCCUCCGCAGGAAUCAAGACCCGGCGAGGCAGGCGCUGACUCAGAUGAGGCGGUCACUCACCAAGAUAACCCAUACUUCAUAUUCCUCUUUUCCUCUUCCUCACUUUUCUGUCGUUUAUGUCUUGCACUACAGGUGUUCGAUGAUUUGUUCAUCAUGCCGAUCUGUUGACUUCAUUGAACAUAUAGCCUCAUAAAAAACCUGAACGGCCAAGAAUGCAAAUGUAUCAUGGUCAGAUGGUACCAUAUGCUGUCUCAAAAGAUGUCAAUCCACAAGAGCGAUGCAUUGUAUCAGUCUAUCAGACAUGAAAGAAAAGGGACCAGUUCAUGUUCCAUGCCCUUCAGGUAAUAUGGAAAAAUAUAUGGUUCCAUAGUUCUUCCGAAAAAGCCUUGUGAGGGUUAUAGCUCAUGUGUUUGAAGUAAUGUACCGCCAGGGAACGAGUCUCCAAGAUCACAUUUGGCUCUGGUCUUGGAAUGAAUGCAUGAGCCGGAACAUGAAGUCAUAAACCAAUGCAUUAUCUGUAACUUGCAUCCUUGGAGGCCUACGGAGAUGUCAUAUUAGAAAAAUACUUCGAUGUGCACACCCCAGUAACUGGAGUACAAUGUUUCCUGUCAAGUGACCAAAGAAUAGAGAAGCCAUUCAGUCACAAAUUACAUCGUGGUACUUCUUGAAUUUUUUGCUGAACUGUUUGCUUGGCUGACUUCUUUUACUGUGUGAACUGUCAAUAUGAUAUGUUGUCAUUUAAAAGGAAGUAGUCUAUAUAAAAUUUCAUAUAUUAUUUCAAUGAAAUAAUUGUAUUUAUCUAGAAAUACAAAAGGAGCUACAAUUUUGGAAAGAUUGGCAUAGAAGUGCUUUUGAAGCAUGCCCAUAUGUCUGGAAGAAGUGCUUUUGAAGCAUGCCCAUAGUGGCUGGAAAGAGUUUUUUUUUCCUUGCUACGGAGGGUAAGAAUUUUAUAUAUAUUCACCUGCAAUAUUAGUGCAUAUUUUCACUCUGAAGGUUUCCAAGUCAAGACUAAAUGUCUUGCUUUGUCUUCAUUUUUCAGUUAUUUUACAGUACACUUUUUUAAUCUGCAUUGCCUCCUUAUUAAUCUGAAUGAGGGGAAUGUUUAGAGGCCCGUCUUUGUUCCUCUUCCAUGUGUUAUUUUUUGUAGUUUUGGUACGCUACAAGUUGCAGCUCAACUGAGAUUCAGCACUACGGGACAUAUGCAGGUAUACAAUGUUCAUUUAAACCGGCAAGGAUAUCCUCUAAAAUGGAAGUAUAUCCUCUAAAAUGAAAUUCUUAUGUCUCAUCUAACCAUGAUUUUUAUGUUGUUCGGGAAUCUGCAGCAAUGAACGAUGUUUAAUUAUUGGUUAUGCCCACAGGCUAUGAUUAUGUCCAUUUUAACCGCCAAGGAUGUUAACAACGAAAUUCCCAUCUCUAUGCCCUGCUCUAUCAUACACUAUUUGGUUCCUUUAUCAAAUUAAAUGACUCCUUCCGAGUUUCUCUACUUCACAUCAUACAUGAUGCUACACCACAUGAGAAGCUUUAUCUAUAUCAGUUAACUCGAAUAGAAGUGUUGUGUCGUUAGACAAAAGAUACACAUGGAUGAAACAACUCACAUCUUAUGAGCAUAAUGUCAUAUUUUCCUGUGUCAUGCCGAAUUGUUGAUUCUUCAUAGUAAGAUUUUAAAAAGUGGUCUGAUAAUAUAUCUAUGCUGAUAUAUUGGUAAUAGCAAGCCAUGUUAUACACAAACAACUACUGUCUCCCUCUAUUAAUUUAUUAGUUCCCGCCCUAAUUUUGUCGCCCCUUUAGUAUGUACAAUUUUUAUAAUGUUUUACAUAUAAUU
Molecule: long non-coding RNA, 2151 nt
Organism: Lolium perenne
Lineage: Eukaryota; Viridiplantae; Streptophyta; Magnoliopsida; Poales; Poaceae
Source: RefSeq, a predicted model, not a curated record